This 806-nucleotide ribosomal RNA is filed under the name Streptococcus agalactiae. RNAcentral's name for it is "bacterial SSU rRNA". It matches the Rfam family "Bacterial small subunit ribosomal RNA", at positions 31 to 820 of the family's 1533-position model. Lineage: Bacteria; Bacillati; Bacillota; Bacilli; Lactobacillales; Streptococcaceae. The record is from RNAcentral.
GAACGCUGGCGGCGUGCCUAAUACAUGCAAGUAGAACGCUGAGGUUUGGUGUUUACACUAGACUGAUGAGUUGCGACGGGGUGAGUAACGCGUAGGUACCCUGCCUCAUAGCGGGGGAUAACUAUUGGAAACGAUAGCUAAUACCGCAUAAGAGUAAUUAACACAUGUUAGUUAUUUAAAAGGAGCAAUUGCUUCACUGUGAGAUGGACCUGCGUUGUAUUAGCUAGUUGGUGAGGUAAAGGCUCACCAAGGCGACGAUACAAAGCCGACCUGAGAGGGUGAUCGGCCACACUGGGACUGAGACACGGCCCAGACUCCUACGGGAGGCAGCAGUAGGGAAUCUUCGGCAAUGGACGGAAGUCUGACCGAGCAACGCCGCGUGAGUGAAGAAGGUUUUCGGAUCGUAAAGCUCUGUUGUUAGAGAAGAACGUUGGUAGGAGUGGAAAAUCUACCAAGUGACGGUAACUAACCAGAAAGGGACGGCUAACUACGUGCCAGCAGCCGCGGUAAUACGUAGGUCCCGAGCGUUGUCCGGAUUUAUUGGGCGUAAAGCGAGCGCAGGCGGUUCUUUAAGUCUGAAGUUAAAGGCAGUGGCUUAACCAUUGUACGCUUUGGAAACUGGAGGACUUGAGUGCAGAAGGGGAGAGUGGAAUUCCAUGUGUAGCGGUGAAAUGCGUAGAUAUAUGGAGGAACACCGGUGGCGAAAGCGGCUCUCUGGUCUGUAACUGACGCUGAGGCUCGAAAGCGUGGGGAGCAAACAUGAUUGGAUACCCUGGUAGUUCACGCCGUAAACGAUGAGAGUUAGG